ACCUGCCCUAUGAAUUUAAAAGUUUAAAUGGCUGCGGUAUUUUGACCGUGCAAAGGUAGCAUAAUAAUUAGUUUCUUAAUUAGGAACUGGUAUGAAUGGUCGAACGAGAAAAAGACUGUCUCAAUUUAAUUUAAAUUAGAAUUUUAUUUUUAAGUUAAAAAGCUUAAAUUAUUUUAAAAGACGAGAAGACCCUAUAGAGUUUUAUAAAUAUAUUAUUAUUUGGAAGUUAAAGGAUUAUAGAUUUGAAUAAUAAUUUCUUUAUUUGGUUGGGGCGAUUAAAAAAUUGAAUAAACUUUUUUUAAAAUUAUAACAUUGAUAUAUGAGUAAGUGAUCCAUUUAUUAUGAUUAUAAGAUU
Molecule: ribosomal RNA, 355 nt
Filed under: Scybalocanthon pygidialis
Lineage: Eukaryota; Metazoa; Arthropoda; Insecta; Coleoptera; Scarabaeidae
Description: partial 16S ribosomal RNA
Rfam family: Archaeal large subunit ribosomal RNA (bases 1-122)
Source: RNAcentral